RNAcentral lists this long non-coding RNA (877 nucleotides) under Mytilus galloprovincialis (Mediterranean mussel). The record is from RNAcentral. Lineage: Eukaryota; Metazoa; Mollusca; Bivalvia; Mytilida; Mytilidae.
AUUAUCUUGAAUAUUAUUAUAGAUAGAGAUAAACUGUAAACAGGAAUAAUGUUCAGCAAAGUAAGAUUUACAAAUAAGUCAACAUGACGGAAAUGGUCAGUUGACCCCUUUAGGAAUUAUUGCCCUUUAUAGUCAAUUUUUAACCAUUUUUCGUAAAUCUUAGUAAUCUUUUACAAAAAUCUUCUCCUCUGAAACUACUGGCCAAAUACUUCCAAACUUUAACUGAAUGUUCCUUAGGGGUAUCUAGUUUGUAAAUUGUAUCCGAAGUUGUGAUCUAUCAACAAACAUGGUCGCCAUUGCUAAAAAUAGAACAUAGGGGUCAAAUGCAGUUUUUGGCUUAUAACUCAAAAACCAAAGCAUUUAGAGCAAAUCUGACAUGAAUAAUAUUGUUUAUCAGGUCAAGAUCUAUCUGCCCUGAAAUUUUCAGAUGAAUCAGACAACCUGUUGUUGGGUUACUGCCCCUGAAUUGGUAAUUUUAAAGAAAUUUUGCUGUUUUUGGUUAUUAUCUUGAAUAUUAUUAUAGAUAGAGAUAAACUGUAAACAGCAAUAAUGUUCAGCAAAGUAAGAUUUACAAAUAAGUCAAAAUGACGGAAAUGGUCAGUUGACCCCUUUAGGAGUUAUUGCCCUUUAUAGUCAAUUUUUAACCAUUUUUCUUAAAUCUUAGUAAUCUUUUACAAAAAUCUUCUCCUCUGAAACUACUGGGCCAAAUACUUCCAAACCUUAACUGAAUGUUCCUUAGGGUAUCUAGUUUGUAAAUUGUAUCCGAAGUUAUGAUCUAUCAACAAACAUGGUCGCCAUUGCUAAAAAUAGAACAUAGGGGUCAAAUGCUGUUUUUGGCUUAUAACUCAAAAACCAAAGCAUUUAGAGCAAAUCUGAC